RNAcentral lists this long non-coding RNA (1502 nucleotides) under Sus scrofa (pig). Its description in RNAcentral is "lncRNA (ENSSSCG00035065203.1)". Lineage: Eukaryota; Metazoa; Chordata; Mammalia; Artiodactyla; Suidae. The record is from RNAcentral.
AUCGAUUCAAUAUUAACAUAUGCAAUCCAUAUUCAAAUUUCUCCAGUUGUCAGUAAAAAAAUCUGAUAAAGGUGGAGUUCCAGUCAUGGCUCAGUGGUUAACGAAUCUGACUAGGAAUCAUGAGGUUGAGGGUUCGAUCCCUAGCCUUGCUUGUCAGGUUCGUUUCCACCUCGCCGCCACAGGAACUCCCGUUUAGUCUGUUUUUGUAUGUGGCUAAUUCUGUUUUCUGGGAAAUACAAGUGGCGGUUGUUCUCAAACGUGAAGCCACCCAGUGAGAUUUUUAAAAUUCCAAGUGAUGGCUGUAUCCAAAAUCACUUAAAUCAGAAUUUCUGGGGAUGGCACCCAGGCACCAGUAUUUUUAGAAGUUCUCAGGGUACAAUGGGGAAAUUUGAGACCCAAACAUAAGGGGUUGGGUGAGUUCCUUAAUGAAAAUCAGCGUACAAUUAGAGAAACAGAAGAAAAAUGCCAUAGUCAAUAAUAUACAUUGUAGGGCUAUCAACUACUAAGUUAUACUUCAUAACAAACAUAAGAAAUCAAGUCUUGAAGAAUACUUUACGGAAACACAGAAGGAGAAAUAAAGCCUAGAAGAAUACUACUGUGUUUAUAGAGUAUGGACAAAGAAUGUCACCUGCCAUUUCAGUAAAUAAUAGAUGCUGUGGCCAAAAAGCGAUCAACCACUGCAGCCACCCCUACAGUGCACCCUGAGGGGAUUCAGGAUGGAGAAAAACAAGAUGAUGGCCCUGCAGAGUUAAGGUGCAUAUCAAAGGAAUGGUUUCAAUAAGCCCAGACUCUUGCAUCUUCCUAUACCUAAAAGCACUAAAAGCAUUAACUUGAGAUGUCUGUUUUCGUGAUUAGCAGUUGCAUUUUUUUAGAAAGAGAUGGGGAUCAUGUUAUUCAGAUUCCUGCUGAAAGCAAUCCAAGGGUUCCCAAAGUACUAAAACUAAAAGUGUGAGGCCAAUCUCCUUUGCCCUCCCAGCCACUGGGGCUUUCUGCUGCUCUAACAGUUCAAACUUUUUCGUCCUUCGGAAAUUAUGCAUAUUUCGUUCCCAUUGUAUGGACAUAUCAUUUAAAUUGGGCAAGUUUUCUGAGUGAUAAUUCUCUAGGGAGGACACUAUCACCAAAUAUUAAGCAGGUCUUAUGUGAUCUGAUGAGAUGAAGUAAAGAGAAGGCACCAGCAUACCGGCUGAUUCCUGGGGAUCAAAAUCAAGCUUCUAUUUUCCUAAUUGGGGAAUCUACAUAUAAACAGGCUACACAGAUACUUGUAAGUGCAGUAUACACAAACUCAUGGAAUUUGUUAGUACCAAAUCUAAUAAUUAUCUUUUUUUGUACACAAUAGAGCACAUGGGUAAAAAAAUUCUGCCACCAGCAUUUUGUUCCUUAACACCAGACGGCUACACCUUUGAAAUUUUAUGCUGCAUGCAGAAGUUUAUAUACUACAAAAAAAGAAAAAAGAACAAAAGGCAUUUUGCUUAACAACUUGGAUGUAGACACAUGCACUUGCG